GUUUACGGCCAUACCAGCCUGGGUACGCCUGAUCUUGGAAGUUAAGCAGGGUCGGGCCUGGUUAGUACUUGGAUGGGAAACAGCCUGGGAAUACCAGGUGCUGUAAGAU
Salmo trutta (river trout) is the source of this 109-nucleotide ribosomal RNA. The record is from Ensembl. NCBI's taxonomy places the organism in Eukaryota, Metazoa, Chordata, Actinopteri, Salmoniformes, Salmonidae.